Molecule: ribosomal RNA, 256 nt
Filed under: uncultured bacterium
Lineage: Bacteria
Description: partial 16S ribosomal RNA
Rfam family: Bacterial small subunit ribosomal RNA
Source: RNAcentral
UGGCGGACGGGCGAGUAAUGUCUGGGAAACUGCCUGAUGGAGGGGGAUAACUACUGGAAACGGUAGCUAAUACCGCAUAACGUCGCAAGACCAAAGAGGGGGACCCUCGGGCCUCUUGCCAUCGGAUGUGCCCAGAUGGGAUUAGCUUGUUGGUGGGGUAACGGCUCACCUAGGCGACGAUCCCUAGCUGGUCUGAGAGGAUGACCAGCCACACUGGAACUGAGACACGGUCCAGACUCCUACGGGAGGCAGCAUG